RNAcentral lists this small RNA (145 nucleotides) under Flavobacterium branchiophilum. Its description in RNAcentral is "Flavo-1 RNA". It matches the Rfam family "Flavo-1 RNA". Lineage: Bacteria; Pseudomonadati; Bacteroidota; Flavobacteriia; Flavobacteriales; Flavobacteriaceae. The record is from RNAcentral.
CCCUAGCCCAGAUUGAAGUGGAAAGGACAAAGCCUCAAAAGGGAUUUUUUUGUUGCUACAAAAGAGCGACCACCGGAAGCUCCUUUUGUAGCAUACAAAAAACCCUUUUGAGGCUUUGGACUUGAAACGAAAAGCUGGAAUAGCU